GAUGAACGCUGGCGGCGUGCCUAAUACAUGCAAGUCGAGCGAACGGACGAGAAGCUUGCUUCUCUGAUGUUAGCGGCGGACGGGUGAGUAACACGUGGAUAACCUACCUAUAAGACUGGGAUAACUUCGGGAAACCGGAGCUAAUACCGGAUAAUAUUUUGAACCGCAUGGUUCAAAAGUGAAAGACGGUCUUGCUGUCACUUAUAGAUGGAUCCGCGCUGCAUUAGCUAGUUGGUAAGGUAACGGCUUACCAAGGCAACGAUACAUAGCCGACCUGAGAGGGUGAUCGGCCACACUGGAACUGAGACACGGUCCAGACUCCUACGGGAGGCAGCAGUAGGGAAUCUUCCGCAAUGGGCGAAAGCCUGACGGAGCAACGCCGCGUAAGUGAUGAAGGUCUUCGGAUCGUAAAACUCUGUUAUUAGGGAAGAACAUAUGUGUAAGUAACUGUGCACAUCUUGACGGUACCUAAUCAGAAAGCCCCGGCUAACUACGUG
This 497-nucleotide ribosomal RNA is filed under the name uncultured bacterium. RNAcentral describes it as "partial 16S ribosomal RNA". It matches the Rfam family "Bacterial small subunit ribosomal RNA", at positions 28 to 507 of the family's 1533-position model. The record is from RNAcentral.